CCUACGGGUGGCAGCAGUGAGGAAUAUUGGUCAAUGGCCGUAACGCUGAACCAGCCAAGCCGCGUGAAGGAAGAAGGAUCUAUGGUUUGUAAACUUCUUUUAUAGGGGAAUAAAGGUAUCCACGUGUGGAUAUUUGCAUGUACCCUAUGAAUAAGCAUCGGCUAACUCCGUGCCAGCAGCCGCGGUAAUACGGAGGAUGCGAGCGUUAGCCGGAUUUAUUGGGUUUAAAGGGUGCGUAGGUUGUUUUUUAAGUCAGAGGUGGAAGUUUGUGGCACAACCAUAAAAUUGCCGUUGGGACUGGAAGACUUGAGUGUGGUUGAGGUAGGCGGGAUGCGUGGUGUAGCGGUGAAAUGCAUAGAUAUCACGCAGAACUCCGAUUGCGAAGGCAGCUUACUAAGCCAUAACUGACACUGAGGCACGAAAGCGUGGGGAUCAAACAGGAUUAGAUACCCGGGUAGUC
This 460-nucleotide ribosomal RNA is filed under the name uncultured bacterium. RNAcentral describes it as "partial 16S ribosomal RNA". It matches the Rfam family "Bacterial small subunit ribosomal RNA", at positions 338 to 795 of the family's 1533-position model. The record is from RNAcentral.